GGGGCUGUGGCUUAGAGGUAGAGCACUCGCCUACCAUGCGUGAGGCACUGGUGUUCGAUCCCCAGCACCACA
This 72-nucleotide transfer RNA is filed under the name Marmota monax (woodchuck). RNAcentral describes it as "tRNA.Gly". It matches the Rfam family "tRNA". From Rfam's summary of the family: Transfer RNA (tRNA) molecules are approximately 80 nucleotides in length. Their secondary structure includes four short double-helical elements and three loops (D, anti-codon, and T loops). Lineage: Eukaryota; Metazoa; Chordata; Mammalia; Rodentia; Sciuridae. The record is from RNAcentral.